GCGGGUGUGGUGAAACUGGUAGACACGCUAGCCUUAGGAGCUAGUGAGGCAACUUGUGUGGGUUCGAGUCCCACCGCCCGCA
RNAcentral lists this transfer RNA (82 nucleotides) under Candidatus Falkowiibacteriota bacterium. RNAcentral describes it as "tRNA-Leu". It matches the Rfam family "tRNA". From Rfam's summary of the family: Transfer RNA (tRNA) molecules are approximately 80 nucleotides in length. Their secondary structure includes four short double-helical elements and three loops (D, anti-codon, and T loops). Further hydrogen bonds mediate the characteristic L-shaped molecular structure. tRNAs have two regions of fundamental functional importance: the anti-codon, which is responsible for specific mRNA codon recognition, and the 3' end, to which the tRNAs corresponding amino acid is attached (by aminoacyl-tRNA synthetases). tRNAs cope with the degeneracy of the genetic code in two manners: having more than one tRNA (with a specific anti-codon) for a particular amino acid; and 'wobble' base-pairing, i.e. permitting non-standard base-pairing at the 3rd anti-codon position. The record is from RNAcentral. Lineage: Bacteria; Candidatus Falkowiibacteriota.